CCUACGGGAGGCUGCAGUGGGGAAUCUUGCACAAUGGGCGCAAGCCUGAUGCAGCCAUGCCGCGUGUGUGAAGAAGGCCUUCGGGUUGUAAAGCACUUUCAGCGGGGAGGAAGGCGGUGAGGUUAAUAACCUCAUCGAUUGACGUUACCCGCAGAAGAAGCACCGGCUAACUCCGUGCCAGCAGCCGCGGUAAUACGGAGGGUGCAAGCGUUAAUCGGAAUUACUGGGCGUAAAGCGCACGCAGGCGGUCUGUCAAGUCGGAUGUGAAAUCCCCGGGCUCAACCUGGGAACGGCAUUCGAAACUGGCAGGCUAGAGUCUUGUAGAGGGGGGUAGAAUUCCAGGUGUAGCGGUGAAACGCGUAGAGAUCUGGAGGAAUACCUGUGGCGAAGGCGGCCCCCUGGACAAAGACUGACGCUCAGGUGCGAAAGCGUGGGGAGCAAACAGGAUUAGAUACCCCAGUAGUC
This 465-nucleotide ribosomal RNA is filed under the name uncultured Klebsiella sp. RNAcentral's name for it is "bacterial SSU rRNA". It matches the Rfam family "Bacterial small subunit ribosomal RNA", at positions 338 to 795 of the family's 1533-position model. The record is from RNAcentral. Lineage: Bacteria; Pseudomonadati; Pseudomonadota; Gammaproteobacteria; Enterobacterales; Enterobacteriaceae.